This is a long non-coding RNA of Molossus molossus (Pallas's mastiff bat), 13781 nucleotides long. RefSeq lists it as uncharacterized. The record is from RefSeq and is a predicted model, not a curated record. The transcript is spliced from 5 exons. NCBI's taxonomy places the organism in Eukaryota, Metazoa, Chordata, Mammalia, Chiroptera, Molossidae.
CGGAGAUUUGUGUGUGUCCAUCUUUUCCAUCAUUGGCUGUCAAGGAAAUGUCUCCCAUAGGGGGCCUUCAGAAGGAUUACAGUUGCUAUUGAUGGUCACUAUCAGUUGAGUGAAAAGAAGAGGGAAUUUGAUCACUGAAUUUUCUGGCAUGUCAAUGUGGAUCCAAGCCGAUGCUGUAAACGAGGCUGAAAACCAUACUAACUGCCUUUAGGACAGAAACGCAACAAGCUGCAGCAGCAACAAAGGAAGCUUAUCCUUGGGUCCCAGGAAGCACACAUGUUGGCGUGAGACAGAAGCCAGGACAACUGGAAAGGAGACUGCCUCCCUCUCAAUCAACACCACCUGCUGGAGCUCUAGGUAUCUAGUGAUGUCCAGGGAGGAGGGAUCUCACAACUACGGAAAGGCAAGGGAUGUGGAAAAUACCUUCACGUGGAUUCAGAUACUACUGAUGUUUGAGGACAGUUUAUCUUUUGUUUUUGUUUUUCUUCAUUUGUCUGUAUUCAAGACCAGUGAUUUUCAACCAUUGUGCCACAAGAAUUUUCAAGACAUACAAUACCUGAUUAGUCAGGAGCACUGACCUCUUUUCCCAGAUGUCAAAUAAAAGACAACAGCCAAACAUAACACUGUGCGCUGUGAAUAUGAAACAAAAUUAUACCCAUUUUUUGUCAUAUUAGCAAAAAUACUUUUUUGGUAUGCCACAGAAUUUUAAUUAUUGGUUUAUGUGUGCUCUGAGUUCAUAAAGGUUGAAAAUCGCUGUCCUAGAUCAAAGGGUUUAAGUCCAGGACACAGGAAAUGUUUAAGAAGUUGAGGCAGUCUUACUCAUUUUUAAAUGUGUGAAUACGAGUCAUGAAAUGCUUUACAGUUUCUUACAGUGGAAUACCUGGGUAACAGUCUAGGCCCAUCUGAGUCCCAACUCCAUACUCAAACACUACGAAGUCAGCUGUUGCUGAAAGUGUCUACCAAUGCUUCUUACUGUGACAGGACAUUUUUAGGGGAUACACUUUAUCUACUGUUUAUAUCACAGGGUGAGGGACUUGUGUUGCUCAGUGAGACCAUGGAAGCCAAGCAGCACAAGAACAGGAUCUGAAAUCAGCUUCCAAGGACAUUCAUUCUGGAAGUCAAUGUUGACGAGCGUAUUCAUCAGGUUCUGCAGUCAGUCUGUGUAGGGACAUCUGUGUGUAGGCUUCAGCUAAUUGUAGAUGAAGAUCUUAAGCAACUUCUUUCUCAGACAAAAGGGAGGUAGUUGUGCCCCGUGGCCUCAGUGUCCUGGUGACAGGGACGCAGUCCACAGGAGCCAUUUUCUUGUACAUGAUCACUUCUGCAGCGAUAGCAAGAAUAAGGUGGAAAACUGUUCCCGUGGGAGUGAUUUCUUGUCUGUUAGGAGACAUAUCAGGAAAAGUAGUUUGUGCUCAGUUCUUUCAAUGAUAACAUUUGGUUUACAUUACCUUAGGAUUUGGAUUCCUUAUAUCAGCGAUGUUAGAACUUAGCUCAGACUUAGUUCUCCCAAGGGUAGCAGCCACAGACCUGGCUUCGUCUAUUGAUCUGCCUCAAUUGUAUUUGACCAUUCUCAUUGCUCUUUCCUUUUGGUUUUUUUUAAAUAUGCUUUGGAAUGUUUUGUUGACUGUUCAAUGUAACCCAGGCUCUUGAAUUGGAUUAAAAUUAAGUUGUUUGAACAUAGGAAGGUAUUUCUUGAGGUUACAUCUGCCUGUGGUGCCUUCGGUUAGUUCAGUUUUCAAUUUGUUGGACCAUUUGAAUGGGGAAGUAGCAUUCUAAGGUAUUAUAUUUCGUUGUAAGACCCCAAAGAGCUGGCAGAUUGCUGAGAGUUUUGUCACCUUAAUUGUGUCAGUUGAAGGAUAUUGCUGCCAAAGAUGAUCCACCUGUCACUCCUUCUGAAGCCAGGAAUUUUCCAUUAAUAGAAAUGUACAGUCUGCAGACAUGAACAUUUGAGCAAGGUGCACUUGUUGGGCAGAUCUUGGCUUGACUUAUGAUGAGCUGUGUUUCCUGAGCACCAUGACAUGAUGGUCAACUGAAUACUCUGAAGUCCAGCCAAAGUGUCAGUCCAUGGACAUGGGCCGCACAUUUUCUGAACAAACGCUGUAGGCUGUACAUUUCACAAGGUCUCCCCAUCAAUAUUGAGCUGUAGGUUUUCCCAGUGAAGUUGAGGAAGGUUAGGUUCCUGAUCCAUGACAUUAUUCCUUUCUGUACAUAGUAUUUUCUGUAUUUGCAGUGCCUGGUACAUCUCACUUUUGUGCAUUUCAAGUGAUAACUUCAAGAGAAUGAGGACUUGGGAGCUACAGUGGUUUGUUUGAUUCAUGAAAGCAUAGCUCUAUUCCAGCGUUGUACCAGUUUGAGACCCUGAGCCCAGCCUCUGAGGCAGCUCCAGUCAUCAUAGGAACAAGAAACUGCCAGUUUACUCUGGCCUGAGAUGAGACUUCAUAUUCAGAGAGAGGGCUCUAUCUCAUUCUUUUCUUACUAAGUUACCACUUUCUGUAUCUUGGCAAGGCAUGGAUGGAGAUUUAGAAUUUUUCAAUCUGAUUCAAGAGGAUGAAAUUGACAUUUGGCAGUUGGUGGAUCUGAGCCCUGUAGAGAGAAAGUUUUGCCAAAUACUGUGCAGUUUUUGAAAGGGGUCUUUACUCACAUCAUUCUUUAAUCUCAGUCUGUAUUGUAUGAGUAGCACAUCUUUUAUUACCUGAGGUGGACAUUCUAUGGUUAGGCGCUUGUGCUUUGCUUUCGGUAGCUCUUGUGAGGAGGUUGAAUAGUAAUUAAACAGGUAUUUAGAAAAAAACCUGUAUAAAAAAGUUACCAUGGACAGUUGAAUGUACUAAGACCUUAUCCUUAAAUAGUCACCUUAAUUUGUUGUGUGUGUGUGUGUGUGUAAAUAUAGUAUGGGUGUUAUGUUGAGUGAACAGCUUAUAGUGAAAAGCUGUUGGGGUUCCAAUGAAUUACAUUCUUUGUAAAGUUAAGUUAGACAAGUAUUUUCACAGUUCUUGACCUUAUUUAGUCCCUGUUUUCCUGCCAGAAAUUUUUGUAUAUUUACUACCUCAGAGACUUGUUUGGUUUCUCUUAGUGUUGCUGAUCCUGACCAGUAGGAAUAUGCUGAUUGAAUUGACAGGAGGAAGCUGCCCUUGUAAUUGAAAGGCAUGAGGAGUAGCCAGCUGAGGGAGAGAUGAAAGGAGUGAGCUUGAUGGAUGUGACCUUGGACUUGGGUGUAGGCACUAGGGUCCUCCCACUGCUGGGAGAAGGAACACUGGUGCUAGUGAGCCCCAUCCAAAUACAGGGGUCCCAGAGAAAAUGCCUGCACAGGGGCUUGUUGCUUGGAUGGGGGAGGUUUGACUUGACUAUCAAAAAUCAGAGCUCUUAAACCUGAUGACAGCUUUCCUUCCUGCAGAGGGAACUGAGGUCCAUCACAGCUAAUUUAUGAUUGGAGCAGUUUCUGAAAGAGGACUGGUAAAAGGGAAAGACUUAGAUGAUAGAUGAAUGGAAGAGAAGGAAAAAUAGGUUUAAGGUGAUCAUGUCCCUGUGUUGUUGUCCAAGUGUGAAAGGGAGACUUGUAAAUGGAGCAGCAUCAGAAUCAUUUCAUUUGUGAGCCCUGUGUGAAUAUCAGAACAGUGGGAAGUUAAGGAGUUAGAAACAUCAAUCUACCUCCCAGCUUAGAGGUGUUAGGUCUGGGCCCUUGCUGAGGUCAUGUACUAGGCAGUGUCAUGUCAUCUGUGGAGAUGGCUGAGAUUGCCAAGAAGGGAGGGGGGUGAGCGUUCUUGCUGUGCUUAUUUAUUACUAGAAUGGGCCACGUGGUUUACAUUUGUAGGCAGCUAAGAGGAAACCAAACUUUUCUCCAACUUGAGUGCACAUGAGAAUCAGCCCAUGGGUUUGUACAGUUGCUCAGAUACGGAUACUGUAGUUCUGGGUCUGAGAUGUUGACAGAUGAUUGGGAUUAGGUAUCACACACAGAACAAAUGGGUUUUAGUUGGAACAAAGUUGUCAUUCUCUAAAAGUGCUAUUAUAUGAUUAAUUUAUAUGAAUAUGGAUAACAAUGAAAUAUGACAAAUAAUUAAAUGAACAUGAGUAGGGAAUUUGGAGAGAAAACUGGUUGUCUUAAGUGAAUGCAAAACACUACAUUAUUUUUCCCUUGUAAAUCCAACGAAAUAAGAAUCAAAUGUGUGGGUUUUCAGACACUUGGAAAAUCGAUUUGAGAAUAUGAAUCCAUAUAUCUUCUCAGAACAAAUUGUAAAUUUACAUUUAAAUCAUGAACCUUAUUUGAGGAAGAAAGUUUUCUUUUUUAUAAUUUUUCUAAUCAACUACUACCCAAAUUUUUAUUUAGUUCAAUUUGGAUAAAAAUGACUAAUAAAUAGAAAAGCCCAGAAAACAGACUUUUUAUAAAACACUUUAAAAUACAGAUGUGAUCUCAAUAGUGCGUUGAUUUCCUAGACAAGGUUUUUUUCCCUGUUAUUUAAAAGUUGUGGGGGGAUUUUUUCCCAGGUUGUGUUCUGUGUUGGUCACUGAACUCUGCAUAACAUUAAUUACUCUGCAUUUAGGCACAUUUUGCAGUACUUGAAGCAUACACUUCUGGACCAUUUAAAAUGGUCCAUAAACUGCAAUACCAAUGAAUUUCUGGGUGAUGCUAUUUUCUGGGGGAAAUUUCAAUAUAUGUGUUAUAAUAGCUUGGCUGUAAAUACCCUGGCGGCAAUAUUUGGUAUUGGAAUGGAGAACUUCUUUGUAAAUAUACUUCUUUAUGAGAAUAGUUUUACAAUGAACUGUCCACUGUUACUGGCGUACUUUGAAAUUUAGCCACUUUUAGUUAAAGUACUGAGAAAUACAGAUGUAGGUCACGUCAGAGGUACCCUACAGCAACUGAAGAAGGAACCCAGACUGGAAACAGAGACUUCUUUUCUGUGGCUUGGUCUAAAUAAAAAAAUGAGAAAUCACUGAGUUUUUAAAAAAUUGUUACUUAUGAAGGGACUCCCAACUUGAAACAAGGAGACUUCUGUGUUUGGCCUGAAUAAAAUGAGAAAUCAUGGAGGAUAAAAAUUAUGACUUCUGAAGGAACUCCCAACUUAUAACAAGGAGACUUCUAUUUUAUGGCUUGGACCUAAAAUGGGAAAUCAUGGAGGCUUUUUAAAAUUUGUGACUUGGAAAGGGACCUACAUUUGAAACAAAGAGACUUCUUCUCUGUGGCUUGGCCUGAGUACAAGGAGAAAUCACACAGGACUUAAAAAACUGAUUUAUGAUUUCUCUAAAAAUUACUGCAAUGAUACUGGUUUUUGUAUUUUUAUAGGAUGGCAGAAAAAUUGGGUCAUUAUAUUUUUCUAAUUAUCUUUUGCACACUGUAACUCUGGUGAGCAAGACUGAAUGCCAAGGCUUUGAGUUUCAGAUAGACUGGGUGUCAUACCUACUGAGUGAAUUAUGAAUUCUAAGAUUGUCAAAGUAAUAAUAGAAAUAUCCCAUCACUCAAAAAUUACAAAACACGAUGAUGAAACUGAAGAAUAAUUUUGUUUGUCUUACAAUAUAACAUGACAAUCUGGAAAAAUACUUACAAAAAGGCAUAGACGGACUUUUCUGAUUCUUUUAUGGGGGAGAAUCCAUUCCUAAUUGAACAAAGGGUACAAGAAAUGAGACCCUACAGUUUAGGCAAAAUUUAGUUUCCAGUUUAAACCUCCUAUAUUUUUCUCAUUCUCUAAAGGUUUAGUCAAGACAAAAGGGCAUUUCAUUGUACUGUGAUGAUGGGCACAGAGAAUAGGACAAUACUAUCUUAAAUUCAAAUUGCCUACCCCAUCAGAUAGUGAUACUUCCACGAGAGCACCAAAUUUUAAUUUGGGGCUUUGGUGGAAAAAGAAAGUGUUCCUUAAAGUUGUCUACCCUUACUGUAUGCACCCACCUGUCAGUCUAGCUCACUGAGGGAUAAAAUGUACAUGUUAAAAAAACAAGCAUGUGUUCAUUUGAACAAAUCUUUUGUGCAAAUCUCUUAGAGAUCAAGAGUUCAUUGCUAUUGAAAGUAUACAACAGUUUACUUGUUAGUGGAUAGCAGUUUUUGGCCACAUGAAUAUAUUUAGGUUGGCUUUUGUAAUGGACAUAGACAUCUACAACUUGAUGGAAAGGAAAAGACUUGGAACAUUUUUAAAAAUGACAACAUGUCUGGAUAACAAUAUGCUGGUAGUUGAACAUGUGAAAUAUUUAAAAAUCAUUGUAUGAAAUACACGACUGAAUUUUAUAGAAAUGUAAAAAGGUGAUGCCAACUAGGGGCUGAGGAAGUAGCCAUCAUUAAUGGACAUGGAUGGAGCCUGAGAAAGAUGGACAAGAGUUUCUUGCCAAAGGUUAAAACAUUUGUUGCCUGGUGGAUACUGCUCAGACGCCCAUCAGAUGGCUGCUCUGGAGACACCUUUCUAGUCUUUUAAGCAUACUGAAACUUCCAGCUGCCGCCUUAACUUCUGUCUUCAGAUUUUUUUAUUUGUGUCUGCCAGAGAAGUUUUUGGGACAGAUGGUGAACCACAUCUUGUUUUAACAGUGUUAGAAAUAAGCAAUAAUCGAAGAAGAGAAAGAUUAUAUAAACCGGUGGUAUUUAGAGUCUCCUUUGCCUAAGUUAAAACUGGAAAAUUUCCAAUUGGAGUCUCUGAAGAUUUGGAUUCUUAAAAAAUCUGUGAUGUUCCUUUGCUCUUAACCUCUGGUUCCAUAAGAAUCUCCAGAAAUAUGUACAGCAAGAAACAAUGUGAUUGCAGCCCAGGAUAAUGUACAGUCUUUCUGAAAACCUCUCUUCCAUUAACAUUAGAUGAGCAGGAGACAACAGCCUGAGGGACUGCCCUGCAUUGAUAGAAGGUAGUUUCAAGUUCUGGAGAAUUCUGAACAAUUGUGGUUAUGGACUGCUCUGGGUAUCUGAUCCUCAUGCUGGUUUAAGGGAUCUUGGGCCAGAUCAAGAACAGUGUGAUUCAUGUCUGGUCCACAGCCUCAGGACAGCAGCACGUUAGAAUUGAUCUGAUCUAUAAGCUUUUCCAGCUACAAAAAAAGGCAAUUGCACCGUUUUGACCUUCGUCUUGUCUUUCAAAUAUUUGCCUUUCAUUGAAAAUCUAUGGAAUUGGAUAAAAAGGAUAUUGUUUUGUUACACAGAACCAACUUACCUUCAGAAUGGUUACCCUUGAAUUCUGUGUACAGCAGACACUUGUGUACAUGUGUUAGACACAGAAGUUCGUGGUUUUUUCUUCCCACUAACAUUUUUAAAACAGCUCUGAAUCUAAUCCCUCAAACUGAUUUAUUGGACACAUCAAGCUUCAAAAUUUAUGAAAACUGGGGAAUGGUAUUAAAAUGUAAAUAUAAAAUGCUCAGUGACUGAUGAAUGUGUAUGAACUGUUAGUUGAUGUUAAGAGAUGAAGAGAAUGAACUUCAACAUGUAAUGGUUUCAUUUUAUUCUUUAUUUUUGUUUACUUAAACUUCCUUGGAAUAUUAUACUCAAGCACAGAGGCCUCCAUUUAUAAACAAAUUCAUUAUUUUUAGAUACUUUUGUAACGAUUGCUGUGAUAUUACAGCUGGUUUCCUAAGGAAGUUUCUAAUAACAUUUGGUAAAAUUGUCUUCUGGAGAAUAUUUUAGAAAAUCCGGAGGCGUUUUGUAAAGCUAUACACAAUUCUGUAUUCAUUGUUUGUGUGCUCAGGGAAAGCAGAAAAGGAAUGGAGUGCUCGACACAUUGAUCAGAAAAAAAGCAAGGCACCAGGUGUCUUCAUGUACAUUCUGAGAAUAGUGUGUAUGAAAAAAAAAACCAAAUAUUGCUUUGCGACAUUUCCUCAUGUACUGUAAUUGUUAACAAAGAAUUUGGUGAAAUAUAUAGAAGUAUUUUAAUACAAGAUUAUAAAAAUAGAACUGUCAGAAUACCUCUGAAAGAUGUACAUUUAAAAUCAUUUGAGUGGGUAAUUGCUGUGGGAGUUGGGGGAAGAGGGAUUGUUCUGUAUACAGCUGUCAAUAGACAUUGUACUAAGGCUGCUUUGUAUGUAGAUGUUUAUGUAAAUGCUCUUUAUGGGAAAAAAGGUUACAGUGAGACAGAAUUGUUACUUUAUGCUUGACAAAGAGAGUGCAGGAUUGAAGAGGCUUUGUUAUUCCUGGUUAUCUAGUAGGAAAAGCACUGAUACACCAUUUUGUCAAGCAUACAAAUGGAUGACAUCUGGGACUACAAUGCUCAUAUGUCAGAAUUCUACAUAUUUUGUAAAUUUUCUCAUGUUAAACAGGCAGACUGUUUCCACAAUUGAUUUCAUCAUUAAUUUAUUUCUGAUACAUUUUGUUUAUACAGUGUUAUUAAUGUUUACCAUACAAUUUUAUACAUGUAUAAACAUCAUUGUAAAUAUAUAUUGACAUAUUAGGAUAGAAGCAUUUCUGUUUGCCAAAGAGAUGUUAGAUCUAGCCUCUCUGUAUAUUUGGAUUAGGCUCCUUAGGCUUCAUUUCUAAAUUGUGGUCAGUGUAAUCUGUAGGAUGCAGUAUAAUGUACACUGUUUUUUGACAUAAAUCAUCAUUUAGGAAACGUCAUUGUUAACUCUAGAUCUGUCUUUGUUUAUGGUUUUCAGACAUGUUUAUAUACAGAUAUAACAGAGCUUGGCAUAACUUGGAGAAAUCUCUACAUGUGAUAAAAAUAGCAUUGAUUAGAAAAGUUUCCAUUUGCCAAUGAAAUUUGACUUGAUAGUGAAUUAUUUUAAUGUACCUAUUUCUAGUUAUAUAGGUGAUUUAUAAGUUUUAUGUGGGACGUUAGCAAUGGAAUAUAUCAAACCCAAGUUCAUUAAAUGUGGGCUGACAAAAGAAUGUUUUUGUAUUAUAUGUUAAAUAAUGGACUCAGUUAUGCUUUUAAAGCAAUAGGGACAACUAUAUUUGCAUGUUUCAUAGGUAUAUUUAUUGUAUAUAAAGCGAAAACUUUCCCUGACAGUUGUCAUUAUCUCUGAAUUAAUAAUUGGGCAGCUGAUGGGGGAUAAUUUUUAAAUAAUUCUAUAUGAAAUAGUUAAAAUGUUUUUGCUUUAAACGUUUAGUCCCUGAAAUAUAAGGAAUGUUUACAUAUUCAUGUGUGUACAUGUACACACAUGAGUACUUACAUGUACAUACAUGUAAAUGACUGUAUAGAACUGUUUAUUAAAAGUCAUAGGAAAAACUGAUUGGAAGAUACUGUGAGGCUGCUAGUUAUAUGGUGGACAAAUGUUUUUGUUUUAUAACAUCUGCAUAGGAUUUACUGAUAGGCAUAUAUUUUGUGAAUACCAAGCUGAUAGGCAAGUGUGAGAAUUCUACUUUUGCAAUUGAAUUGCUAUAGUAGGACUAUUUAGGAUGUAAAUAUUUGGUCAAGGGGGAUUGCCUUUGUGUUUUUGUGGGUUUUUUUCCAUUAGACAUUCUUGUUAGUUUGUAAAAUCUUUGCCAUUAAUAUUUUAAAUAAUUGUAAACAUGUAUACUUUUUUCCAAUUUAAUUUUUGAAUGUAAAAUGUUAGAACCGAGCAGGGAAGUACUUGACUGCUGUAUGUAUAAUAGACAACCUUCUUAAUAACAUCUUAACUUCCUAGGUAUGUAGACAUACCCUCUCUCCAUGCGCACAUGCGCGUGCACACACGCACACACACACAGUAAAUAUAUUAAUGUUGGAAUAUGGUAAGAUGUUUAUUACCAAUAGAAGUGUUAUUUCACCCCUUAGUGUUUGGUUUCACUUGGUGUGAAUGGAGGGGGUGGUUAAUCUCAUCGGUUCUUUUUUUUUUUUUACCAUAUGAUUUUGUAGAUGUGCAGACAUUUCUGUAAUUUUGAAAAUGGAUUUCAACUAAAAUUAUAGCAUAUACUUUUUUUUUUGGUUUCACGCCUGUUCAUUGCUGAUACUUUUAAAUAUCAAAUUAUUAAUGUAACUAGACUUUUUUUGUAUGUAUAGUGAUGUAUUUUAAGGGUUAUGGACAAGGGUAGUGGAUGUUUUCACAUCUCACUUAUACAGCUUUUUUGUUUUUUGUUUACUGAUUGUGGACACAUGUUGCAAUCAUGACAGUACAGAACUGCUUUCACAAAUUAUUUUAAGAACUAUAUAGGUGGCUCCAUGGGGUUUGUUAAACACCUGUGAUAAUUAAAUUUAUUGGGGUGACAAUAGAUUUGUGCAUAUGUUUCUAUGACACAGAAUCAGAACAUUGCAUUAUUUGCCCAUCCUACAUCACCAUAUAUUUGGCCCUCUUUACCCUUUACAACCCCUCACCCCCAUCCAAACAACAUGGAUUGACCUUGAGAACACAACUCAAAAAAGCUAAAAAGCACAUAAUUUCAUGUGCGAUAUAAAGCAUUGAAAGUAUAUUUACCUCAUUUUUUAUUUUGAAACAGUAUAUAGAAAAAUCAUCAAAUGGUCGUUUUAAAGAAAAAAAACCUCAUUUUUUAAGGGACAUGCAGUCAUCUUAUUUUUCAAAAUGUACAGGAUGGUUCUGUGUUAAUUUGUUACAUGACAUAAUCCUGUAAAUAUUUUGCUGUAAAUUUGUUAUUAAAAAUAAUAUGGCAAUACAAUUAAUCAUGGAUGAACAGGCUCUUAGAGCUGUGAAAAAUUUAUACAUUAAUUUGGUUGUAAGGAGAAAUGGACAAGAUAUUAUUUACCCCACUGUGGAGAAAUAGUCUACCAUCCUAACAAGUAUCAACUAUCAUUUAAAAAAUUUAAAUACAUGUGAAUUCAUUUGGUGUUUUUGGAUGCAUCAAGUUUCCUGAUAUGUUUCUAUUACUAUUUUUCAUUAAGAAUCUUUUAAAAACAGUUUUAAAUUCACUGCAAAAUUGAAGGAAAGAUAGAAAGAUUCCCCAUAUACCCCUUUCCCCACACACAGGCACAAUCCCCACUAUCCAACCCAACACAUGGAGAAUCAUGCCUGUUACUAACAUCCCCCACCAGAGCAGUUCAUGCUAACACCACAAUCACCCAAAAGUCCAGAGUUUACAUUGAGGUUAAGGCUUGGUGUCGUUCGUUGUACGGGUGUGAGGACAUGCUUAAUGACUUAACACCCCUUGUAUAUGCAGCAUUUUCAGUGCCCUAGAAAUCCUCUGUACUCUGCCUAUUCAUCCUUCUGUAUUUUCUUUUUUUUAAACAUUCAGGAUAUUAAUGACUUUGUUAAAUGGAUUUUAUACUACCUCUUGGAACUACACACAGUUCUGUAUGUGUUCCCUUGGUUGCAUGACAGUAUUCAAGACAACUUUGUAAAUAAUAGGCAGAUACACUUUUUAAUUUUUAACAUCUAGUCUUUUCAGAUGUACAGAGUCUCACAACGUAUAACUUUGUAAAUAAUUCAUAGUAAAAUUUCAUGGUUAUAUAUUUUUUGAAAUGUAUUUAAAAAGUGAAAUGGAUAGAGUGAGUUUCUUGAGCUGUACAUAUCUGAUCUUUGUAGUUGUUAGGUGAAGGUAAAACUAAGAGGGAGUAUAACUUUGGUUUUGAUUUUUCAACAUUUAAGCCAUUGUUUAGUGGUUGUGUUAUUGUGCCUUUAAAAUCUCAAGUUAUAAUUAUGUAGUUGUAUUGCUCAUAGGGCAUUAUGUAUGUUAAUCACAGGAAAUGUGUUUUUAUAACACAUUCUAUUCGCCUUUGAAUUAACAGUUUUGAAUUUCAUUGUACUGCAUGACCUCAAAAUACAGCUUUGUAAAUAGCAAGUGUGUGUAUAUAAUUUAAAACAUCUGGUUUUUCUAGAUGCACAGGGAGUUCCGCAAACAUUUUGUAAAUACUUCAUUGCAACCUAUUAUAAUGGCUUCUGUAAUGUUUUGGCAAUGGGCUUAUAUUAUGGUGUUCAGUGAGUUUUGGCGGAGGAUAGACAAAUUGAUUCCUUAACUUCCUUUGCUUAGGAUCUCAUGUCUAAGAAAAGAUAAGGUAACAGAAUACAUCUAGGGUUGUAUUUUUAUCUUUAGGAAGAAAAAGACAUGAGACAUGAACUGUAACUUUGUCUUUGUCAUACUCAGAUACAUUCAGUGACAUAAUCUGAGAUGGAAGAUACAUUGCUCAACUGUUUAUUCUAUGCUAGAUAAGUCUCUUUGCAAGUUCAUGUAUAUGCAUAGCCAUGUGUAUAUAAAGUUAGCUUGAGUAUAGAUCUGAAAAUGCUUUCCUUCUCAUUAGCUUAUUUCCAUUUUUUGUUUGAAAAUAGUAUUUCUAGCUUAAACAUUUGUAGAAGCUUGCUUCAUGAUACUCUAAAACUGUUACUCUUAUAUAAAAUUAAGCAGCUCCAUAUGCGUUAUUUUAAUCUCUGCAUCUGUAUGAGAAGAGAAUUUAUCCAGUUAUGAAUAUUUCUUCCAAUUCUCUGAGACCUUUCUAAAACUAUGGUUAAUUGUUAUAUUUGAAUGUUAUGUGAUAAAUGUGGAAUGUUUUGUAUCUCAGUUGCCUGUAAUGUACAUUGUGAAACUUUCUUGGAAAGGUGGUCCUAUCCAGUAUUGAUCCAAAAGUAUAAAUCAUAUCUUUUUAAACAGCAGUUUGGCAAUGACAAUCAAAAUUGAAUGUGAAACUUUGGAAUAAGUUACUGCUUGGAUUUUAACUCUUCCAAUUCUCUAAUUUACAAAGAAAGAAAGUACAUAAUAAAUUGAGUUUAACAAGGAACAACCGAAAUAUACGUCAGUAAAAGAAAGUUUGGAAUGAUUAUAGCUUAUGUAAGUUGAACAUAAAUGAAACACACUGUUAAAACAUUCUUACAUGGAAAGUGUGUCCAUAUGCCUCUAGAUCUUCACCUGCACUGCUAAUGACCAUGGGCCCUCCUCAGUGCCACUCUGAUUGUUUUGGCAUUUAUUUUGAAAUUUUUCUACAUGUGCGAGUCAAAUAGCAAGGCAUUGUUUAUUGGUAUAUUUGUAUUGCUACGUGACAAUCUAAAAUGACAUUUAUGGAAGAGAAAGUUACCUGGAAGACUGUAUGGAGAGAUGGAAUAGAAAGACUGCUAUUACUUUCUGAAUAGAACUUUUAAUGGUAUUUUUAAAGGAACAUUUGAAUAGCAAGGAAUUUAAAGGCACAAACAACUUGUGCUUGACGUUAAUCUUGCCUGUCACUAUCAGGCAUAUAGGGCGGUUGUAUCUGGCCUCAUGUUGCCAUUGGCCGCUGUGAAUGGUUUUUGAGAAAUCAAGAAGAGGAUAUGACUUGGAGAAAAAUGCAGCACUGAGCUGUACAGUGUAAUAAGGAGAAUCAGUACUCGAGGAAAGAAGUGAGAAGAUGAGAAAGAAGAGAUGAAGGUGAUGGAAUAACAAUGUGUUUGCAGAGUGAGGAGAGAUGACAUUCAGUUCAUUGGUCUUUUUGUGGAGUCCUUCCUCAGGCGGACCUGAAACCCAGGAGAUGAUGAAUAGGAUCAUGCCAUUGCUUCUGCCACCAUCUUAAAAACCUAAAGACAGUCUACUUCAUGUGGGGAGACUCCUUCCGUGCUUGCCAUGGGCACUCCCUGCAGAUAAGAAACACAGGACUGAGAAAGCUCAUGUUUGAAGGUGACCUACAGGGAGACAUGGAGAGAAUUGUAUGCAGGCAUGAAUUCCAGGCAAUGGAGUGAUGGAGACAUAAAUACCGAGAAGCCUAGGAGAGCCAUUGCAAGGCCGCCUUCCAGGGCUCCCCUGAGUAGUACUAAGUGCUUAUAUUUCUACUUUUACUUAUAGGAAAAUAAUUAAAUAUGUUCAUUAAAAAUCAUAUUCUUGAAAUUUUAGAGGACGUAGGAAUUUGUUACAUAUAGUUAUUACUUUAUGUGACUUUGUUUUCCUUUAAUGUGACCCCUCCCCAUUGUUAUAUACUGUCUCUCUUUUUCCAUUACAGUUUACAUUCAGCAUUAUUUUGUAUUAGUUUCAGGUAUACUACAUAGUGGUUAGACAAUCCUCUACUUUACAAAGU